AGACAGCAUAAGAACAACUAAAUCUCUCAAAAUUUUAUAAACAGGCUGGGCAUGGUGGCUCAUGCCUAUUUUAUAAACAGGCUGGGCAUGGUGGCUCAUGCCUGUAAUCCCAGCACUUUGGGACGCCAAGGCAGGUGGAUCACUUGAGGUCAGGAGUUCGAGACCAGCCUGGCCAACAUGGUGAAACCCUGUCUCCACUAAAAAUACAAAAAUUACCCAGGUGUGGUGGCAUGUGCCUGUAGUCCCAGCUACUUGGGAGGCUGAGGCAGGAGAAUUGCUUGAACCCAGGAGGCAGAGGUUGCAGUGAGUUGAGAUUGUGCCACCGCACUCCAACCUGGGCAACAGAGCAAGACUCUGUCUCAAAAAAAAAAUUAUAAGCAAAAUCUACUAAAUUUUAGUCAUUUGACCGUAAGAUAUAAUUUCCAUAAACCUUUCUAUAACCUGUAUAACCUUUUUUUAAGGAGUGUGCUAAUGCUCUAAGAAAAUGCUCAAAAACCAGCCAUAUGCUGGUUUUGCAUCAGUGUGCCUUUGACAUUAAUGGUUAGGUUUAUAGAGAACCAAACUAAUUUAAUCUCUCAACAUCAGCCCUUACAAUCUCAUGCACCCAGCUCUUCCACAAUAGUCCCUGAGCCUUGGGAAGUCGAAUACGUUUAAUUUCUGGCCCUGUGUCUCAUGAAAGCAGUUUAUUUUGAUUGGCAUCUUCUACCAGGUCUGAAGAUGAGGCUUUAACUGCUGUCAGUAUUUAAGAUUGAGCAGGACUUAGUGUCCUUUUUAGACUCAAGAGUCAAACCCUGUAAUUGAAUGGCACAAAAACUUGAAAAGCACAUACAGAAAGUUACACGGAUGCAAUAACUUUAAUUUAGAAUGUUUUUUCAGUUUUUUCUAAGCAAACCAAAACUUAAUAGUAAUGAUAUAGGAAUUAUUUCAAUAAAACAUAAAAUCUGUUUGUUAGGCCAGUUACCAAAAGGCAAAAGCAAAGACCUUCUGCAGUGUAAUUUCUGUUCCCUAUGGGGAAUCCAUUUAGAUAAUCUGCAAGUCAAAACUAAUGAAAAUAGUACUUGAAUUAGACAUAGGAAGAAUG
RNAcentral lists this long non-coding RNA (1081 nucleotides) under Homo sapiens (human). RNAcentral's name for it is "non-protein coding lnc-DNAJB5-5:2". The record is from RNAcentral. Lineage: Eukaryota; Metazoa; Chordata; Mammalia; Primates; Hominidae.